Musa acuminata AAA Group (dessert banana) is the source of this 955-nucleotide long non-coding RNA. RefSeq lists it as uncharacterized. The transcript has 4 exons. The record is from RefSeq and is a predicted model, not a curated record. Lineage: Eukaryota; Viridiplantae; Streptophyta; Magnoliopsida; Zingiberales; Musaceae.
CUACGGUUAGAGGAGAGAUUAGGAAUUUUAUCGUCAUUUAGGCCUUCGAUUAUACUACGAGUUCGGAUCUCCUGCUCUUGUAACGAGAGGAUUGGGAUUGGAGUGUCGGGAUUUGUAAUGCCGGCUGUUCGCAUUGCAAAUUCCCCUCUGUUUUCUCUUUAAAUUAGCCCCCUUUCCUUUCUUGGUUGAUGAGAUUUUAGUUUGUGUAGCUUGGUCGUACGAAUCUUUUCUUUCCUGAACUUUUUGAUCGGUUGUUUCAACUAUACUGCAGGUAGGGAAUGAAAAGAAGACUAUAAGCUUUGAUCUCCGACCUUCAGAUGCCAUUAAUAUGACUGUUCAAUGCAAGGCCUGAUGGCCACCCUUGCUUCGGGACUGAAGAGUUCAAUUUGAUCCAAAACAUGCUGACUGCUGCUGUUGAGGAACGAUACUUAGAUGCUGCUCAGUGGAGGGACCAACUUCAUCAGCUCAGAUCCAAUAGAAAGAACUGGACAUGACAGGUUUUGGUGCAACCCUAUGCUCCCUGUCCUUUUUUUUUUGGCAUAUUCUUGAAAUUCUUGUACCUGUCAUAGGUUUUUUUUUUUUCUUAUGCUGCUGCAGUUCACUGGGAUGUAUAUAUGUUGUCCAAUCAUGCCGGAAAAAUGUGAUCAUAUAUAAGUAUAUGUAAGUAGCAGAUAGCCAUUGAUCUUGCAGAUAUAUAUGUAUAUAUAGUUUGCAACUCCAUGUUGGCAUCAUUUGCCUGUAUAUAUAUCAAUGUAAGACAAAGGAUCUCUUAUUCACAAGACAACCAUGGCUUAGCUUAGCAUCCAUCUCCUGCUAAUGUUGCUUGACUUCUGGUUUUCACCACUGUGGAGUGUUGACAUCUUCAAAGUCUGAGGCCUCCAGCAAAACUUCACCUUGCAAGUGCUAUUAUAAAUGUAGAUACUAAACUUUAUCCAAUUGGACAAUCAUAUUUUAA